Molecule: ribosomal RNA, 553 nt
Filed under: uncultured bacterium
Lineage: Bacteria
Description: bacterial SSU rRNA
Rfam family: Bacterial small subunit ribosomal RNA
Source: RNAcentral
UAGGGAAUCUUCGGCAAUGGACGAAAGUCUGACCGAGCAACGCCGCGUGAGUGAAGAAGGUUUUCGGAUCGUAAAACUCUGUUGUUAGAGAAGAACAAGGACGUUAGUAACUGAACGUCCCCUGACGGUAUCUAACCAGAAAGCCACGGCUAACUACGUGCCAGCAGCCGCGGUAAUACGUAGGUGGCAAGCGUUGUCCGGAUUUAUUGGGCGUAAAGCGAGCGCAGGCGGUUUCUUAAGUCUGAUGUGAAAGCCCCCGGCUCAACCGGGGAGGGUCAUUGGAAACUGGGAGACUUGAGUGCAGAAGAGGAGAGUGGAAUUCCAUGUGUAGCGGUGAAAUGCGUAGAUAUAUGGAGGAACACCAGUGGCGAAGGCGGCUCUCUGGUCUGUAACUGACGCUGAGGCUCGAAAGCGUGGGGAGCAAACAGGAUUANAUANCCNUGGUAGUCCACCGCCUAAAACGAAGAGUGCUAAUUGGAGGAUGUCCNCCCGUCCUUCNGUGCUGCAGCAAAUNCAUUACCCNCUGNGNNUGGGGAGUACGACCGCAAGGUUG